RNAcentral lists this ribosomal RNA (405 nucleotides) under uncultured bacterium. RNAcentral's name for it is "bacterial SSU rRNA". It matches the Rfam family "Bacterial small subunit ribosomal RNA", at positions 362 to 758 of the family's 1533-position model. The record is from RNAcentral.
UUUUGGACAAUGGGGGCAACCCUGAUCCGGCCAUUUCGCGUGAGUGAAGAAGGCCUUCGGGUUGUAAAGCUCUUUCGCAAGGGCCCCCACCGAUAGUAGUGAAUAACUGCUGUUAAUGACGGUACCUUGAUAAGAAGCACCGGCUAACUACGUGCCAGCAGCCGCGGUAAUACGUAGGGUGCGAGCGUUAAUCGGAAUUACUGGGCGUAAAGCGUGCGCAGGCUGUUUUGUAAGUCAGAUGUGAAAUCCCCGAGCUCAACUUGGGAACUGCGUUUGAAACUACAAGACUAGAAUAGGUCAGAGGGGGGUAGAAUUCCACGUGUAGCAGUGAAAUGCGUAGAGAUGUGGAGGAAUAUCAAUGGCGAAGGCAGCCCCCUGGGAUCAUAUUGACGCUCAUGCACGAAA